Oncorhynchus nerka (sockeye salmon) is the source of this 187-nucleotide long non-coding RNA. RefSeq lists it as uncharacterized. NCBI's taxonomy places the organism in Eukaryota, Metazoa, Chordata, Actinopteri, Salmoniformes, Salmonidae. The record is from RefSeq and is a predicted model, not a curated record. The transcript is spliced from 2 exons.
CGACCUUCUCAGCCUAAGUACCCCUCUCCCAAUGUCUUCCUCACCCCCGUUCAUCAGGCACCUCAUACUAUCCGACCAGCCUCUGCGAAGUUGAACUGGUAUACGAAACGGGCCGCACUGACAGGGAUCUAUAACACCACUGAGCUGGUGAUGAUACAGGACUCCUCAGAAGACUUCCAGGACACCU